UAUCCUAUACAUCAAUGGUGAUUGGCAGGAGACUUUCAAGGCUUUAAGAGUGUUGUAAAGGGGGUGAUUGGAAGGGACUAUUAGUUUUGACUGUAAAGACUUUCGCUUUAAGAACUUUGGUAUAACAAACUUUGACUGCAAAGACUUUCGAUUUAAGAACUUUGGAUGUUAAAAUCUGAUUGGUAUAACAAAACUGUAGAAGUUGUGACUGUUAUUUUUUAAAAAUUAU
RNAcentral lists this small RNA (229 nucleotides) under Arabidopsis thaliana (thale cress). RNAcentral's name for it is "ATSL196710". Lineage: Eukaryota; Viridiplantae; Streptophyta; Magnoliopsida; Brassicales; Brassicaceae. The record is from RNAcentral.